UGGGGAAUAUUGGACAAUGGGCGAAAGCCUGAUCCAGCAAUGCCGCGUGAGUGAUGAAGGCCUUAGGGUUGUAAAGCUCUUUUACCAGGGAUGAUAAUGACAGUACCUGGAGAAUAAGCUCCGGCUAACUCCGUGCCAGCAGCCGCGGUAAUACGGAGGGAGCUAGCGUUGUUCGGAAUUACUGGGCGUAAAGCGUACGUAGGCGGUUAUUCAAGUCAGGGGUGAAAGCCUGGAGCUCAACUCCAGAACUGCCCUUGAAACUAGAUAACUAGAAUCUUGGAGAGGUGAGUGGAAUUCCGAGUGUAGAGGUGAAAUUCGUAGAUAUUCGGAAGAACACCAGUGGCGAAGGCGACUCACUGGACAAGUAUUGACGCUGAGGUACGAAAGCGUGGGGAGCAAACAGG
This 404-nucleotide ribosomal RNA is filed under the name uncultured bacterium. RNAcentral describes it as "bacterial SSU rRNA". It matches the Rfam family "Bacterial small subunit ribosomal RNA", at positions 355 to 776 of the family's 1533-position model. The record is from RNAcentral.